RNAcentral lists this ribosomal RNA (1113 nucleotides) under Dickeya solani. Its description in RNAcentral is "bacterial SSU rRNA". It matches the Rfam family "Bacterial small subunit ribosomal RNA", at positions 50 to 1224 of the family's 1533-position model. The record is from RNAcentral. Lineage: Bacteria; Pseudomonadati; Pseudomonadota; Gammaproteobacteria; Enterobacterales; Pectobacteriaceae.
UACNCNUGCAGUCGAACGGUAGCACAGAGAGCUUGCUCUCGGGUGACGAGUGGCGGACGGGUGAGUAAUGUCUGGGAAACUGCCUGAUGGAGGGGGAUAACUACUGGAAACGGUAGCUAAUACCGCAUAACGUCGCAAGACCAAAGAGGGGGACCUUCGGGCCUCUUGCCAUCAGAUGUGCCCAGAUGGGAUUAGCUAGUAGGUGGGGUAACGGCUCACCUAGGCGACGAUCCCUAGCUGGUCUGAGAGGAUGACCAGCCACACUGGAACUGAGACACGGUCCAGACUCCUACGGGAGGCAGCAGUGGGGAAUAUUGCACAAUGGGCGCAAGCCUGAUGCAGCCAUGCCGCGUGUAUGAAGAAGGCCUUCGGGUUGUAAAGUACUUUCAGCGGGGAGGAAGGGGAUAAGGUUAAUAACCUUGUUCAUUGACGUUACCCGCAGAAGAAGCACCGGCUAACUCCGUGCCAGCAGCCGCGGUAAUACGGAGGGUGCAAGCGUUAAUCGGAAUUACUGGGCGUAAAGCGCACGCAGGCGGUCUGUCAAGUCGGAUGUGAAAUCCCCGGGCUCAACCUGGGAACUGCAUUCGAAACUGGCAGGCUGGAGUCUUGUAGAGGGGGGUAGAAUUCCAGGUGUAGCGGUGAAAUGCGUAGAGAUCUGGAGGAAUACCGGUGGCGAAGGCGGCCCCCUGGACAAAGACUGACGCUCANGUGCGAAAGCGUGGGGAGCNNNAGGAUUAGAUACCCUGGUAGUCCACGCUGUAAACGAUGUCGACUUGGAGGUUGUUCCCUUGAGGAGUGGCUUCCGGAGCUAACGCGUGUCGACCGCCUGGGGAGUACGGCCGCAAGGUUAAAACUCAAAUGAAUUGACGGGGGCCCGCACAAGCGGUGGAGCAUGUGGUUUAAUUCGAUGCACGCGAAGAACCUUACCUACUCUUGACAUCCANAGAACUUAGCAGAGAUGCUUUGGUGCCUUCGGGAACGAGGCUGCAUGGUGGUCAGCUCGUGUUAAUGUGGUCCCGCAACGAGCGCCUUCCUUUGUGCAGCGCCGCGGUGAGACUGCGGUAUGGAGGGGACGUCAGUCAUCAUCCUUCGGGCAACUAGCGCUCAUACAUG